GUUUUGCAAGAAUGAUGAUUCAAUUAGAUGUGUGAAGGGAUUCAAUUUCUGAUGAACACAAAUUAUUUGAGGCAUAAUUAGUCUGACUUGCCAAGU
Spinacia oleracea (spinach) is the source of this 96-nucleotide non-coding RNA. The record is from Rfam. NCBI's taxonomy places the organism in Eukaryota, Viridiplantae, Streptophyta, Magnoliopsida, Caryophyllales, Amaranthaceae.